UUAAUUCACUGCCCCCUUUUUCUUUACAUGCAAAACGCGUCAUAACCGGGAGUAUCCGGUUGUCUCUUCCGGUUAUUACUCAUCUAAAAAAAAUCUCGCUGCUUUUGCCUUUGAACAGUUACCGGUUGCCUCCAUUCACUCCCUAAUUUCCUCCGUCCCUUUUAAUUCGGUCAAAGCGGUGCCCAGAAGGCAAUGGAACAGUCGAGGCUCUCCAUGACUCCACUUCUUUCUCUUUUAUUUCCACCGACCCGGUUAAAAAAACAGCCCCCAAUGGCCCUCCGCCGGAGGCUGCUCACUCCCCUACCUCUGGUAUCCAUCUGGGUGCACGUCGACUGGCGAGCUUCCGAAGCCGGUCAUGGCAUCGUGGUGAUGUGUGCCGAUCUUGCCGCUGCGCCAUACGGAGUUGGGGUGGCGGUGACGCCAUCGGUCAGGAGGUGGAACAGCGAGCCGGGAGCACCGUCGACGGAGACGCCCACGGCGGCGAGCCGGCGGCCAGCGACUACACGCAGCGGUGCGUAGAGAAAUGAGACUCGAGGUCCUGAGCCCGUUUUGCUGCAGGGAUAGGCAGUUGUGGAGUUGCAGAAAGCCGAACGAUGGAAAGUUGCUACUGGGGAAGAACGGAGUAGAGUACGGGAUGUGCAUCUCAGUAAACCGAGUUGAAAUCUUGGGAAAAUAUCUUCUCUAGAUGACUUGCAAGCCAUACCAUGAAAUCAAGCGAGGACACCAUCUGUAGGUGUUUGCAAAGAAACAUUAAGGAAACUGAGUGUUCGAGGGGUUUGAUUGCAAGGUUACUUCUUAGUUGGGUCACAUCUUAUGAGGUAUUGCUCAUACAGAUGCAUGAGCAUCGUCAAUCAUGAGACCACCAGCGGAUUGCCAAUAUCAUCUACCAGAUUGAUCUACAUGUCGUGACAUCCAUUUCGUUGGAGAAUUUUACUGCCAAACAAUAUGCAGCAUCACCUCUAAGCAGUGCUUUGUACGCAAGCAUUCAGUUGUGGGAUAUCAGGAUAUGGUACUGUAUAUUGGUAUCCAACAUUGUUUACUUGAGGACCGGUAGCAUUUUGGGGUGCAUGGUUACUCUAGUGAGCAUAUCAUUGUGCAUCUCAACAUGAACACCAAAAUGGUGAUCUACCCACCCGCCACCUAAGGGAGUUAGGGUGGUAGCGAUGCCACCGGCGUGGAGGUGAAAUGGCGAGCAGGGAGCACCGAGGACAAAGACACCCACGUCGAACACAGGUCCGCGGCGACCAUCGGUUACGCGCGGCGGUGCGUAGGUACGUCACCUGACCUC
Non-coding RNA from Lolium perenne, 1288 nucleotides. The record is from RefSeq and is a predicted model, not a curated record. NCBI's taxonomy places the organism in Eukaryota, Viridiplantae, Streptophyta, Magnoliopsida, Poales, Poaceae.